UGGCAGACGGGUGAGUAACAUGUGGGUAUCUACCCUUUGGCCUGGAAUAACACGAGGAAACUUGUGCUAAUACCGGAUAAGUCUUUACGGAGAAAGCUUUAUGCACCAUUGGAUGAGCCCGCACUUGAUUAGUUUGUUGGUAGGGUAAUGGCCUACCAAGACUAUGAUCAAUAGCUGAUUUGAGAGGAUGAUCAGCCACAUUGGGACUGAGACACGGCCCAAACUCCUACGGGAGGCAGCAGUGGGGAAUCUUGCACAAUGGAGGAAACUCUGAUGCAGCGAUGCCGCGUGAGUGAAGAAGGCCUUUGGGUUGUAAAGCUCUUUCGUCGGGGAAGAAAAUGACUGUACCCGAAUAAGAAGGUCCGGCUAACUUCGUGCCAGCAGCCGCGGUAAUACGAAGGGACCUAGCGUAGUUCGGAAUUACUGGGCUUAAAGAGUUCGUAGGUGGUUGAAAAAGUUGGUGGUGAAAUCCCAGAGCUUAACUCUGGAACUGCCAUCAAAACUUUUCAGCUAGAGUAUGAUAGAGGAAAGCA
This 533-nucleotide ribosomal RNA is filed under the name uncultured Pelagibacterales bacterium. RNAcentral's name for it is "bacterial SSU rRNA". It matches the Rfam family "Bacterial small subunit ribosomal RNA", at positions 96 to 663 of the family's 1533-position model. The record is from RNAcentral. Lineage: Bacteria; Pseudomonadati; Pseudomonadota; Alphaproteobacteria; Candidatus Pelagibacterales.